UGGGGAAUAUUGCACAAUGGGCGCAAGCCUGAUGCAGCCAUGCCGCGUGUAUGAAGAAGGCCUUCGGGUUGUAAAGUACUUUCAGUCGGGAGGAAGGUGGUAAGGUUAAUAACCUUGGCAAUUGACGUUACCGACAGAAGAAGCACCGGCUAACUCCGUGCCAGCAGCCGCGGUAAUACGGAGGGUGCAAGCGUUAAUCGGAAUUACUGGGCGUAAAGCGCACGCAGGCGGUUGAUUGAGUCAGAUGUGAAAUCCCCGGGCUUAACCCGGGAAAUGCAUCUGAUAAUGGUCAGCUAGAGUCUUGGAGAGGGGGGUAGAAUUCCAUGUGUAGCGGUGAAAUGCGUAGAGAUGUGGAGGAAUACCGGUGGCGAAGGCGGCCCCCUGGACAAAGACUGACGCUCAGGUGCGAAAGCGUGGGGAGCAAACAGG
RNAcentral lists this ribosomal RNA (429 nucleotides) under Chloroflexota bacterium. Its description in RNAcentral is "Chloroflexi bacterium partial 16S ribosomal RNA". It matches the Rfam family "Bacterial small subunit ribosomal RNA", at positions 355 to 776 of the family's 1533-position model. The record is from RNAcentral. Lineage: Bacteria; Bacillati; Chloroflexota.